UGAUCCGGCGAGGUUCCUAGAUCCCGCCAACCAGAAGCCCGUCCACCGGCAUCCUGGCUGCCCCGGUAGCCGUGGUCGCCGUUGGUGUCUCCGUUCAGCACGGGCACCAUGACGGGUCAUCACGCAAGGUUGUCGCCGGAUCUGGCGACACCAAGCCUGACUACCAUCGGAUCUGAUCGUCGGCCUCCUCUGCUACUUCAAUUUCAGGAUUUUUGAAUGUUUGUGACAGAGAGCACGUGUUGUAGUUUUUUGAAAGAGACCAAAAUCUAUGAAAUUACUUCCCUGUAAUAUAUUUGAAUGCGGUGUUGCUAGUUGUGAAACAAAGUAAUGUGAAAUGGUUUGUGGCACAAUGUGAAAUUUAUAUUUCAAUCUGGUCAAACUGGAUUA
Molecule: long non-coding RNA, 387 nt
Organism: Triticum dicoccoides
Lineage: Eukaryota; Viridiplantae; Streptophyta; Magnoliopsida; Poales; Poaceae
Exons: 2
Source: RefSeq, a predicted model, not a curated record